This 73-nucleotide transfer RNA is filed under the name Schlettererius cinctipes. RNAcentral describes it as "tRNA-Lys". The record is from RNAcentral. Lineage: Eukaryota; Metazoa; Arthropoda; Insecta; Hymenoptera; Stephanidae.
CAUUAGAUGACUGAAAUUAUAAGUAAUGGUCUCUUAAACCAAUAUAUAGUAUUUUUAACAAUACUUCUAAUGA